GGUCGUGUGCCCGAGUGGUCAGGGAGCGGUCUGCAAAACCGCAUACCGGGGUUCGAUUCCCCGCACGGCCUC
This 72-nucleotide transfer RNA is filed under the name Micromonospora sp. NBRC 101691. Its description in RNAcentral is "tRNA-Cys". It matches the Rfam family "tRNA". Rfam says of the family: Transfer RNA (tRNA) molecules are approximately 80 nucleotides in length. Their secondary structure includes four short double-helical elements and three loops (D, anti-codon, and T loops). Lineage: Bacteria; Bacillati; Actinomycetota; Actinomycetes; Micromonosporales; Micromonosporaceae. The record is from RNAcentral.